CAUCGAACGACAUUAUUCACUGUUCUUUUGCUUUAGCACAUUUGCAUACGCACGUGUCACCAUCUUUGCUAUACUUCAAAAUACAAAAUAAACGUCCGUUUCCCAUGUGCUCUUUGGUCGGUCGGCGUUGGCAUAAAUUCUGCAUUCUGCUAGCACGCGCCAUUUGCAGGAUUAAGGACCAAGACAACAACACCAGGUGCGUUUUCUUCCAGGGAGCAGUGUAGGAUACUCUCUAUUACCUAUCCGGUAUAUCCUUACAUUUUGAAGGAUCUUCGUUCGAGCUAUACGUGAUGUAUUGAGUGUGUUAACCUAUUGUGGACCUCUGUUUUGGAACGAGUUUUAAAAGUAUAUUAUUUUUUUCAAGUAAGCAGGAAACCUUGAUCUACGCCUCCCAGGUUGGUCUGGAAGAACACAUUGUCUAUAGUAGCACUAUUUCUAACUUCUGUUCCUAUACUAGCAAUAGCUUAACGGCGUAGACAACACAAAAUAAAAUCGUAUUUUUACAAAACUUUUUCCUUUACAUAAUGGAUCAAAUGCUUUCGAUCGAUGUAAAAAAGUUCUUUAUAAGGGAGAAUUAAGAACUUAAUACAAAUAAGUAGUUAUUUUUAGUAGUGCUACUAAAGGUACAAUUAGUACUAUAGGUGCAAGGAAGCUUGAACUUUAAGCGAAAAUAUUUAUUUCAAUCAUUUUUUUUAAACAAAAUCGAGUAAACCCAUGGUACUUAGAUAAAUAGCUCCUGACCAUUUUGGUGAGGCUUAAAAGAUGAUCACAAUAAUUACAAUAAUUCUCGAUAACUUA
Molecule: long non-coding RNA, 798 nt
Organism: Aedes aegypti (yellow fever mosquito)
Lineage: Eukaryota; Metazoa; Arthropoda; Insecta; Diptera; Culicidae
Exons: 2
Source: RefSeq, a predicted model, not a curated record